Molecule: ribosomal RNA, 253 nt
Filed under: uncultured bacterium
Lineage: Bacteria
Description: partial 16S ribosomal RNA
Rfam family: Bacterial small subunit ribosomal RNA
Source: RNAcentral
UACGGAGGAUGCAAGCGUUAUCCGGAAUGAUUGGGCGUAGAGCGUCCGUAGGUGGUUUUGUAAGUCUGUGGUUAAAGCGUGGAGCUCAACUCCAUAAGGGCCAUGGAAACUACAAGACUAGAGUGAAGUAGGGGUAGAGGGAAUUCCCAGUGUAGCGGUGAAAUGCGUAGAGAUUGGGAAGAACACCGGUGGCGAAAGCGCUCUACUGGACUUAUACUGACACUGAGGGACGAAAGCUAGGGGAGCAAACAGG